GUAGGUGGCAAGCGUUGUCCGGAAUUAUUGGGCGUAAAGCGCGCGCAGGCGGUUCUUUAAGUCUGAUGUGAAAGCCCACGGCUCAACCGUGGAGGGUCAUUGGAAACUGGAGAACUUGAGUACAGAAGAGGAAAGCGGAAUUCCACGUGUAGCGGUGAAAUGCGUAGAGAUGUGGAGGAACACCCGUGGCGAAGGCGGCUUUCUGGUCUGUAGCUGACGCUGAGGCGCGAAAGCGUGGGGGGAGCAAACAGGAUUAGAUACCCUGGUAGUCCACGCCGUAAACGAUGAGUGCUAAGUGUUAGGGGGGUUUUCCCGCCCCUUAGUGCUGCAGCUAACGCAUUAAGCACUCCGCCUGGGAGUACGGCCGCAAGGCUG
Molecule: ribosomal RNA, 375 nt
Filed under: uncultured organism
Description: partial 16S ribosomal RNA
Rfam family: Bacterial small subunit ribosomal RNA
Source: RNAcentral